GGAGAUGUAGCUGAGUGGCACAGCACCUGCCUGGCAAGCACGAGGCCCUGGGUUCGAUUCCCAGUACCA
This 69-nucleotide transfer RNA is filed under the name Fukomys damarensis (Damara mole-rat). It matches the Rfam family "tRNA". Rfam says of the family: Transfer RNA (tRNA) molecules are approximately 80 nucleotides in length. Their secondary structure includes four short double-helical elements and three loops (D, anti-codon, and T loops). The record is from Rfam by way of RNAcentral. Lineage: Eukaryota; Metazoa; Chordata; Mammalia; Rodentia; Bathyergidae.